AGCAGCCGCGGUAAUUCCAGCUCCAAUAGCGUAUAUUAAAGUUGUUGCAGUUAAAAAGCUCGUAGUUGAACUUCGGGGUUUACCCAUUGGUCAGGCUUAAUUGUCUGUACUGGUGAGAUAAAUCUCUACCUUCUGAGGAACUUUCAUGUCAUUAAUUUGGUGUGAUUGGAAAUCAGGACUGUUACUUUGAAAAAAUUAGAGUGUUUAAAGCAGGCUAACGUCUGAAUACAUUAGCAUGGAAUAAUGAAAUAGGACAGACUGAUUCUAUUUCGUUGGUUUCUAGGAUCACCGUAAUGAUUAAUAGGGAUAGUUGGGGGCAUUAGUAUUCAAUUGUCAGAGGUGAAAUUCUUGGAUUUAUUGAAGACUAACUACUGCGAAAGCAUUUGCCAAGGAUGUUUUCAUUAAUCAAGAACGAAAGUUAGGGGAUCGAAGACGAUCAGAUACCGUCGUAGUCUUAACCAUAAACUAUGCCGACUAGGGAUCGGACGAAGUUAAUUUUAUAAUGACGCGUUCGGCACCUUACG
This 524-nucleotide ribosomal RNA is filed under the name uncultured Diversispora. RNAcentral's name for it is "SSU rRNA". It matches the Rfam family "Eukaryotic small subunit ribosomal RNA", at positions 569 to 1092 of the family's 1831-position model. Lineage: Eukaryota; Fungi; Glomeromycota; Glomeromycetes; Diversisporales; Diversisporaceae. The record is from RNAcentral.